GAUUGAAAGCAAGAGGAGGAUGAGGUUAUGUUUGCCUUGGCAUCCUGCCUAAGCACUGGCAUUGAGCUGAAUGUGCCCCUCCACUGAUGGCCACUGCAUCUCCCAAGGCUGCUUAGUUUCUGUGGCUGUCUUCUUCAGGGUCUGAGAAGCUCCACCCUUGCCUUUCCCCGUUGGCCUAAGAGUGAUUUGUCAAGAAUUCCAAAACUGAAACAGUAUGAUAUAAUAGUGGUCAUUUCUGUGAGGAGUCAAAAACAGUGAUGAGUGGUCUGGCUCCUCUUUUGUGUGCACAGUUACAAGCUUCCCAAUAUCAAACUUAAGUUUCGAAGUUGUCUUUCCUGAUGCCUGGCUUUUGGAUGCUACAGAAGGCUCCCAGAGUGUCCAAAAGAGAGGUAAACAAGAUUAUUUGAUGUGUUUGGAUACAUGAGAUUGCCAAAAUGGUGUUCAAUCUUCUUU
RNAcentral lists this long non-coding RNA (453 nucleotides) under Papio anubis (olive baboon). RNAcentral's name for it is "lncRNA (ENSPANG00000040366.1)". The record is from RNAcentral. Lineage: Eukaryota; Metazoa; Chordata; Mammalia; Primates; Cercopithecidae.